Oncorhynchus tshawytscha (Chinook salmon) is the source of this 687-nucleotide long non-coding RNA. Lineage: Eukaryota; Metazoa; Chordata; Actinopteri; Salmoniformes; Salmonidae. The record is from Ensembl.
GGGAGUCAAUGCUGAGACCAAGGUGUCUUUAUUUAGAGACAGGGAGUCAAUGCUGAGACCAAGGUGUCUUUAUUGAGACAGGGAGAGGUAGAGGUCAUGUGAUGUAAUUACACAGGCCGAUGCUGCAGGGAUGUAGAGGUCAUGUGAUGUAAUUACACAGGCCGAUGCUGCAGGGAUGUAAUGAGGUGGUGUAAUUACACAGGCCGAUGCUGCAGGGAUGUAAUGAGGUGAUGUAAUUACACAGGCCGAUGCUGCAGGGAUGUAGAGGUCAUUUGAAGCAGCCUUUCUUCCAUCGCGUGUUUGGAACAAUGACAAAGACAUCGGCAACUUUGUAUUCUGUCGUCAACUCCGCUCUGAAGUGACCUGGCGGGCACCGUCAGGCAGAGAUCAACAUCUUGAUGUAUGUUCAGUGAGAUCUGAGUUUACAGUGUACAACAUCUAGCACUUAGCUGACAUUUGUUUGUUUUUUUUAACAAGCUUUUUCAAGUACAACAUUAAUAUAAUGAUGGUUUUGGGAAACAUUGAAGGAGAUUUAAUGAUGCUCCUAACGAAGGUUUUAAAGAGGAAUUUAUUAGUCUUACGAUGCUUCUGAGAAAUCAGUCUCUCUGGGUCUCCUGUUCUCUCACCCAGAGGAUUAUGGUUGUAUCCUAAAUGGCACGUCUCUCUCCCUCCCUGCUAGAGGCACCU